GACGAACGCUGGCGGCGUGCUUAACACAUGCAAGUCGAGCGGUAAGGCCCUUUCGGGGGUACACGAGCGGCGAACGGGUGAGUAACACGUGGGUGACCUGCCCUCAGCUCUGGGAUAAGCCUGGGAAACCGGGUCUAAUACCGGAUAUGACUCCAUGACGCAUGUUGUGGGGUGGAAAGCCUUGUGCGGCUGAGGAUGGGCCCGCGGCCCAUCAGCUUGUUGGUGGGGUGAGGCCUACCAAGGCGACGACGGGUAGCCGGCCUGAGAGGGCGACCGGCCACACUGGGACUGAGACACGGCCCAGACUCCUACGGGAGGCAGCAGUGGGGAAUCUUGCGCAAUGGGCGAAAGCCUGACGCAGCGACGCCGCGUGAGGGAUGACGGCCU
RNAcentral lists this ribosomal RNA (387 nucleotides) under uncultured bacterium. Its description in RNAcentral is "bacterial SSU rRNA". It matches the Rfam family "Bacterial small subunit ribosomal RNA", at positions 28 to 417 of the family's 1533-position model. The record is from RNAcentral.